UGCGGCCUACGGGGCGCAGCAGUGGGGAAUACUGCACAAUGGGGGAAACCCUGAUGCAGCAACGCCGCGUGAAGGAAGACGGUUUUCGGAUUGUAAACUUCUGUUCUUAGUGAAGAAGAAUGACGGUAGCUAAGGAGCAAGCCACGGCUAACUACGUGCCAGCAGCCGCGGUAAUACGUAGGUGACAAGCGUUGUCCGGAAUUACUGGGCGUAAAGGGAGCGCAGGCGGGAAGCCAAGUCAGCUGUGAAAAAUACGGGCUUAACUUGUAGACUGCAGUUGUAACUGGUUUUCUUGAGUGAAGGAG
This 305-nucleotide ribosomal RNA is filed under the name uncultured bacterium. RNAcentral describes it as "bacterial SSU rRNA". It matches the Rfam family "Bacterial small subunit ribosomal RNA", at positions 333 to 654 of the family's 1533-position model. The record is from RNAcentral.